GACGAACGCUGGCGGCGUGCUUAACACAUGCAAGUCGAACGAAGUGGCGAACGGGUGAGUAACGCGUAAUCAACCUGCCCUUCAGAGGGGGACAACAGUUGGAAACGACUGCUAAUACCGCAUACUGAAGGAGGGGAUUGCGUCUGAUUAGCUAGUUGGAGGGGUAACGGCCCACCAAGGCGAUGAUCAGUAGCCGGUUUGAGAGGGUGGACGGCCAACUUUGGGCUGGGACACGGGCCAAACUUCCACGGGGAGCAGCAGGGGGGAAUCUUCCGCAAUGGGCGAAAGUCUGACGGAGCAACGCCGCGGGGGUGGUGACGGCCUUCGGGUUGUAAAGCUCUGUUAAUCGGGACGCGGUACCGGAAUAGAAAGCAACGGCUAACUACGUGCCAGCAGCCGCGGUAAUAC
RNAcentral lists this ribosomal RNA (408 nucleotides) under uncultured bacterium. RNAcentral describes it as "partial 16S ribosomal RNA". It matches the Rfam family "Bacterial small subunit ribosomal RNA", at positions 28 to 526 of the family's 1533-position model. The record is from RNAcentral.